Molecule: long non-coding RNA, 1005 nt
Organism: Mugil cephalus (flathead mullet)
Lineage: Eukaryota; Metazoa; Chordata; Actinopteri; Mugiliformes; Mugilidae
Exons: 6
Source: RefSeq, a predicted model, not a curated record
CUAAACUGGUUCAAACCGGUUUCCUUCUUAUAUUUCAGUGUAUAAACUACAAAAACAUUCGUUUGCAUUAUACAUUCGCCAUUUUACGCAGCGCCUGGAAGGUUGUCGUCUAUUAUCUGUUCGGAAAAAUCCCGCGUUACGACUGUAUUUUUGUGAGCUUUCUGUUCAUUUCGAGCCAACAACAUGGGCAAAGCCAAGCAAACUGUCCCCCCUGAGCAAAGAAGAACCUCCCCACGCCUGGCAUUGAAACCCAGACCUGCACCAGCAGAGGCUAAGAAGAAAGCUGCUCCAAAGAAGGGACCCAAAGCAAAGAAGGCCAAGCCUGCCGAGAAUGGGAACACCAAGGCUGAGGAGCCUAAGGCCGAAGCAACUGAAGCCAAAUGAAUAACGGUUGAUGUGCUCACUCUGUGUACUUGGUGAUUGUACAGUUUUAAAUAAGUAUUUUUUACCAAGUUUUAUAUUACAAAUGUCAUUUAUAGGUUUGUUUUGGGCUUGCACUCAAUGUAACAAAACUUUGUUUUCACAUUCAUAUCCAUUUUAUAUCCAUCUUAAAAGCGAUUACCGUCCAUAUCUCGUAGACGUGGCAUUUUUUUAGUUUGUCUAAUCAAGUUUUUUUUUUUUAAACUGCUGAGUAAUAGAUAUUUUUCAACAAGUUGGAUUUCUAAUCUAAUUUUAAACAUUAUAAGGCAGCUAAAGCUUAUUGAAAUUUGCAGGAGGAUGGGACUUUGUCCUUUCUUCUCCUUGUAUUUUGAUGUUGAACUAAUAAAGGAAUUGCUUACCAAACACUGUAUGUUGACAUGAGAUCUAGUCAAUUAAAAUGCCACAGGAAAAUAAAUGCAUACUUAUUAGGUCAAAAGAUUGAUACAUCCCAAAAAUAUGUAUGAUGUGAACCUGAUCAUCUGAUGAAAACUUCUGUUAAGUUAUGUUUCUGUCAGGGGAAAAGGAUGCUUUUCUGACUUCAAUGGUUAAUCUAAAUGUUCUUGAAUAAAAGUUUUCAAAAUGUCA